UAGUCCUGGCUGUAAACGAUGAACACUUGGUGUGGGGGGUAUAAAGUCCCUCCGUGCCGUAGAUAACUCGAUAAGUGUUCCGCCUGGGGAGUACGGCCGCAAGGCUGAAACUCAAAGGAAUUGACGGGGGCCCGCACAAGCGGUGGAGCAUGUGGUUUAAUUCGACGCAACGCGAAGAACCUUACCGGGGUUUGAACUGUACCGGCAACAUCCGGAGAUGGAUGGUUUCCUUCGGGAACUGGUAUAGAGGUGCUGCAUGGCUGUCGUCAGCUCGUGUCGUGAGAUGUUGGGUUAAGUCCCGCAACGAGCGCAACCCUUGUCUGUAGUUGCCAUCAGGUUAAGCUGGGCACGUCUACGGAGACUGUCGGCGAUAAGCCGGAGGAAGGUGGGGAUGACGUCAAGUCCUCAUGGCCUUUAUGUCCCGGGCUACACACGUGCUACAAUGGGUGGAACAGAGGGCAGCGAGCCUGCGAAGGCAAGCGAAUCCCAAAAAUCCAUUCUCAGUUCGGAUUGC
RNAcentral lists this ribosomal RNA (514 nucleotides) under uncultured bacterium. RNAcentral describes it as "bacterial SSU rRNA". It matches the Rfam family "Bacterial small subunit ribosomal RNA", at positions 791 to 1301 of the family's 1533-position model. The record is from RNAcentral.